GAUGAACGCUGGCGGCGUGCUUAACACAUGCAAGUCGAACGGAAAGGCCCAAGCUUGCUUGGGUACUCGAGUGGCGAACGGGUGAGUAACACGUGGGUGAUCUGCCCUGCACUUCGGGAUAAGCCUGGGAAACUGGGUCUAAUACCGGAUAGGACCACAUUUUGGAUGGUGUGGUGGAAAGUUUUUCGGUGUGGGAUGAGCUCGCGGCCUAUCAGCUUGUUGGUGGGGUAAUGGCCUACCAAGGCGUCGACGGGUAGCCGGCCUGAGAGGGUGUACGGCCACAUUGGGACUGAGAUACGGCCCAGACUCCUACGGGAGGCAGCAGUGGGGAAUAUUGCACAAUGGGCGCAAGCCGGAUGCAGCGACGCCGCGUGGGGGAUGACGGCCUUCGGGUUGUAAACUCCUUUCGCUAGGGACGAAGCGUUAUGUGACGGUACCUGGAGAAGAAGCACCGGCUAACUACGUG
This 466-nucleotide ribosomal RNA is filed under the name uncultured bacterium. RNAcentral describes it as "partial 16S ribosomal RNA". It matches the Rfam family "Bacterial small subunit ribosomal RNA", at positions 28 to 507 of the family's 1533-position model. The record is from RNAcentral.